Molecule: ribosomal RNA, 254 nt
Filed under: uncultured bacterium
Lineage: Bacteria
Description: partial 16S ribosomal RNA
Rfam family: Bacterial small subunit ribosomal RNA
Source: RNAcentral
GACGAACCGUGCGAACGUUAUUCGGAAUCACUGGGCUUAAAGCGCGUGUAGGCGGGACGGCACGUCGGUCGCUGAAAUCCCCCGGCUCAACCGGGGAACGGGCGCCGAUACGACCGCCCUGGAGGGAUGUAGGGGGACCUGGAACUUCCGGUGGAGCGGUGAAAUGCGUUGAGAUCGGAAGGAACGCCCGUGGCGAAAGCGAGGUCCUGGACAUCUGCUGACGCUGAGACGCGAAAGCCAGGGGAGCGAACGGG